UACGUAGGGUGCGAGCGUUAAUCGGAAUUACUGGGCGUAAAGCGUGCGCAGGCGGUUUUGUAAGCCAGAUGUGAAAUCCCCGGGCUUAACCUGGGAAUGGCAUUUGGGACUGCAAGGCUUGAGUGCGGCAGAGGAGACUGGAAUUCCUGGUGUAGCAGUGAAAUGCGUAGAUAUCAGGAGGAAUACCGAUGGCGAAGGCAGGUCCCUGGGCUGACACUGACGCUCAUGCACGAAAGCGUGGGGAGCAAACAGG
Molecule: ribosomal RNA, 253 nt
Filed under: uncultured bacterium
Lineage: Bacteria
Description: partial 16S ribosomal RNA
Rfam family: Bacterial small subunit ribosomal RNA
Source: RNAcentral